Molecule: ribosomal RNA, 464 nt
Filed under: uncultured bacterium
Lineage: Bacteria
Description: partial 16S ribosomal RNA
Rfam family: Bacterial small subunit ribosomal RNA
Source: RNAcentral
CCUACGGGUGGCUGCAGUGGGGAAUCUUCCGCAAUGGGCGAAAGCCUGACGGAGCAACGCCGCGUGAUCGAAUGAAGGCCUUCGGGUUGUAAAGAUCUGUUGACAGGGACGAAUAAGCAAUGCGAAUAGUUUUGUGUAUGCAGGUACCUGUUUAGACAGCUCCGGCUAACUACGGGCCAGCAGCCGGGGUAAUACUUAGGGAGCAAGCGUUGUCCGGAAUUACUGGGCGUAAAGGGCGCGUAGGUGGGGGCGUAAGUCAGGUGUGAAAACUCCGGGCUCAACCUGUAGACUGCCCUUGAAACUGGGUGUCGUGAGGGCAGGAGAGGAAAGUGGAUUUCCGAGUGUAGCGGUGAAAUGCGUAGAUAUUAGGAGGAACACCAGUGGCGCAGGCGACUUUCUGGACUGUACCUGACGCUGAGGCGCGAAAGCGUGGGUAGCGAACGGGAUUAGAUACCCGGGUAGUC